Molecule: ribosomal RNA, 253 nt
Filed under: uncultured bacterium
Lineage: Bacteria
Description: partial 16S ribosomal RNA
Rfam family: Bacterial small subunit ribosomal RNA
Source: RNAcentral
UACGUAGGGCGCAAGCGUUGUCCGGAAUUAUUGGGCGUAAGGAGCUCGUAGGCGGUCUGUUGCGUCCGCUGUGAAAACUCGGGGCUUAACCCCGAGCCUGCAGUGGAUACGGGCAGACUAGAGGUAGGUAGGGGAGAAUGGAAUUCCCGGUGUAGCGGUGAAAUGCGCAGAUAUCGGGAGGAACACCGAUGGCGAAGGCGGUUCUCUGGGCCUUACCUGACGCUGAGGAGCGAAAGCGUGGGGAGCGAACAGG